CCUACGGGUGGCUGCAGUUAAGAAUCUUGCACAAUGGGGGCAACCCUGAUGCAGCGACGCCGCGUGAAUGAUGAAGGCCUUCGGGUUGUAAAGUUCAGUAAGCAGGGAAGAAUAAGCAACGGGAAAUAUUCGUUGUGAUGACGGUACCUGCCUAAAGCCCCGGCUAACUACGUGCCAGCAGCCGCGGUAAUACGUAUGGGGCGAGCGAUGUUCGGAAUUAUGGGGCGAGGCGGGCGAUUAAGCUGGGGGUGAAAGCCACGGGCUCAACCCGUGAACUGCAUCUAAGACUGGUUCUCUUGAGUUCGGGAGAGGAGAGCGGAAUUCCAGGUGUAGCGGUGAAAUGCGUAGAUAUCUGGAAGAACACCAGUGGCGAAGGCGGCUCUCUGGCCUAGAACUGACGCUGAAGCGCGAAAGCGUGGGGAGCGAACAGGAUUAGAUACCCCGGUAGUC
RNAcentral lists this ribosomal RNA (450 nucleotides) under uncultured bacterium. RNAcentral's name for it is "partial 16S ribosomal RNA". It matches the Rfam family "Bacterial small subunit ribosomal RNA", at positions 338 to 795 of the family's 1533-position model. The record is from RNAcentral.